GUGUAAGACCUCGGCGUACUGCUCAGUAACACGUGGACAAUCUGCCCUGAAGUGGAGGAUAAUCCCGGGAAACUGGGGGUAAUACUCCAUAGUUCGUGCUGACUGGAAUGUUAUGCGAACGAAAGAUCCGUCGCUUCAGGAUGAGUCUGCGGCCGAUUAGGUAGUUGUUGGGGUAACGGCCCAACAAGCCUGUCAUCGGUACGGGUUGUGGGAGCAAGAGCCCGGAGAUGGAUUCUGAGACACGAAUCCAGGCCCUACGGGGCGCAGCAGGCGCGAAAACUUUACCAUGCGGGCAACCGUGAUAAGGAAACCCCGAGUGCCAGCACAGGCUGGCUGUCCGCCAGUGUAAAUAACUGGUGAAGAAAGGGCCGGGCAAGACCGGUGCCAGCCGCCGCGGUAAUACCGGCGGCUCGAGUGGUGGCCACUAUUACUGGGCUUAAAGGGUCCGUAGCUUGAUAUGCAAGUCUCUUGAGAAAUCCGCCAGCUUAACUGGUGGGCGUUCAGGGGAAACUGCAUUUCUAGGGACCGGGAGAGGUGAGAGGUACUGCCGGGGUAGGAGUGAAAUCCUGUAAUCCCGGUGGGACCACCUAUGGCGAAGGCAUCUCACCAGAACGGGUCCGACAGUGAGGGACGAAAGCUGGGG
Molecule: ribosomal RNA, 643 nt
Filed under: uncultured archaeon
Lineage: Archaea
Description: bacterial SSU rRNA
Rfam family: Archaeal small subunit ribosomal RNA
Source: RNAcentral